GACGGAAGGUGCAAGCGUUGCUCGGAAUCACUGGGCGUAAAGGGUGCGUAGGCGGCGCGGUAAGUCGGGUGUGAAAUCUCGGGGCUUAACUCCGAAACUGCAUUCGAUACUGCCGUGCUUGAGGACUGGAGAGGAGACUGGAAUUUACGGUGUAGCGGUGAAAAUGCGUAGAUAUCGUAAGGAAGACCAGUGGCGAAGGCGGGUCUCUGGACAGUUCCUGACGCUGAGGCAC
This 232-nucleotide ribosomal RNA is filed under the name uncultured bacterium. RNAcentral's name for it is "partial 16S ribosomal RNA". It matches the Rfam family "Bacterial small subunit ribosomal RNA", at positions 524 to 754 of the family's 1533-position model. The record is from RNAcentral.